CACGCAUGGAGCAGCGAGUCCUUGUCAGCGCUGAUGGGGAUUUUCAGUUGAUGAUAAAGAGUGUUCGGGUCUCUGAAUAGAAGUAUUGGACAUGGGUAGUGUGUGCCUUUAAUAACAGGACGAACUAGGGUGUAGAGAGGGCUCGGCUUAGCAAUCAGGGUAAGGCCUUCGUGUUUGACAUCACGGAAAAGUUAGAUUCUUGCACUUUGGGUGAUGGAUGUUAGAAAUCAAUUAGUACAUUAAUUCAAGGAAUGUGUCCAACCCAAACAGUCGUGUCUCCUCUCUCUCUAUUGCCAACAGACACAUGUUUUCAGGGACGCCUCUGAAGAGACAUCUCUUCUUCACACCUCUUCCAGAUGUAUACAUACUUAAGAAAAGCAAUGGCAGGCGGCCGUGUCUUCCCAGUGGCCGCUACAUGCUCAGGCUAAUUAGCACUAAUCGUUGUGACCUAUAGCGAGUCAACCGGCCACUGCCUUGUUCUGUAUAGAUUGUUAUUUGAUCUUUUCUGUUUGUGAUUAAUCAAAGAUCCAAUUAUUGAUUGCUUUUUCCUGAAUGUCUUUGCACUGCACCUACAAAAAUUGCUUCAUCCAAGCAUGUGGGAAUGGUCAGAUGAAAGGAUUGCUGAAGCAUCAAUGGAACGAAAUUCAUGGAUCAAAGAGAAGAUCAAGAACACAUCGACCAGUCAUACAAAGGGAAGAAGAAGGUACCUUGUCAUUUUCUAAUUUCUCUUGCGCUGGUACUACCGGCUGGUGUUGUUCGUCGCCUCUCGCUCUUGCCGUCGGGCCUCGCCAGGCCGUGGCCGCGCUCGCCCGCGCCGUGGCCGGUAGCGCCAGACCGUAGCCGUCGCUUGCCGCGCUUGUCCGUGGCCGUCCCUGACCGCGCCUGCCCGUCUGCUCCGCCCAGCGCCUGCGCAGCGCCCUUCAUCCGCAUGAAUCCUCGGCACACAGCGACGCGCACGCCACACAGACAUCAUCCGAGGCCCUCGGUCUCAGGGCGGAUCCCACGGAGCAUGAGUUCCAGUGAAUGCGACGUCCUCCGGCACGGCACGAAAGUGACGCCGGCGGCGCCCUCCGGCGCGACGGCGGCCUCUGCGUACAAAGGGGAGCAGCCGAACGUAUCAGUUGAUUCGUAUCUUCUCAAACAGGAAGCGAUAACAAAUCUUAUCACUUUGUCUAUUUUGCAACUUAGUUCUCCAAAUUCAUCCGAAUUAUAUAUAAAUUCAUGAAAUACUCAUACAUCCCUCAAGUUUUUUGUCAUGUUUAAUCUCCCUCCCUUUUUUUAUACGCUAAUCGCGUAUAAGCUUCUGUAAUUUUGGGUCAGCCUUCGGGCUAUCAAACUUGGCGUUUCACUAGAUUACUGUAUUUUGUAAUCAAGCCAUCAGGCAUUAUACACUUUGGAUUUCAAUACAACAACAAGUUCUCUGUUUCUAUGCAGUCAAAUCAACCCUUUGUUAUUUUGUAUUGCAGCCUUGCAAGCCAUCAGGCUUAGUACGUAGUGGUGCUAGUUCAAUUGAAACCAUCAGGC
This 1524-nucleotide long non-coding RNA is filed under the name Hordeum vulgare. RNAcentral describes it as "long non-coding RNA (HVUL_LNC001781)". The record is from RNAcentral. Lineage: Eukaryota; Viridiplantae; Streptophyta; Magnoliopsida; Poales; Poaceae.